RNAcentral lists this ribosomal RNA (330 nucleotides) under uncultured Hydnangium. RNAcentral's name for it is "bacterial SSU rRNA". It matches the Rfam family "Eukaryotic small subunit ribosomal RNA", at positions 1304 to 1642 of the family's 1831-position model. Lineage: Eukaryota; Fungi; Basidiomycota; Agaricomycetes; Agaricales; Hydnangiaceae. The record is from RNAcentral.
AAGCCUUCGCUCUUGCAUAAUUCGAUAACGAACGAGACCUUAACCUGCUAAAUAGCCAGGCCGGCUUUCGCUGGUCGCCGGCUUCUUAGAGGGACUGUCAGCGUCUAGCUGACGGAAGUUUGAGGCAAUAACAGGUCUGUGAUGCCCUUAGAUGUUCUGGGCCGCACGCGCGCUACAUUGACCGAGCCAGCGAGUUUUUUUCCCUUGGCCGGAAGGUCUGGGUAAUCUUGUGAAACUCUGUUGUGCUGGGGAUAGAGCAUUGCAAUUAUUGCUCUUCAACGAGGAAUACAUAGUAAGCGGAGUCCUCAGCUCGCGUGAUCCGACUUGCCA